AAAAGGCGGCGUAAGCUGUCGCUAAAGGAUGGACCCGCGGUGCAUUAGCUAGUUGGUAAGGUAACGGCUUACCAAGGCGACGAUGCAUAGCCGAGUUGAGAGACUGAUCGGCCACAUUGGGACUGAGACACGGCCCAAACUCCUACGGGAGGCAGCAGUAGGGAAUCUUCCACAAUGGGCGAAAGCCUGAUGGAGCAACGCCGCGUGAGUGAAGAAGGUUUUCGGAUCGUAAAGCUCUGUUGUUGGUGAAGAAGGAUAGAGGUAGUAACUGGCCCCUAUUUGACGGUAAUCAACCAGAAAGUCACGGCUAACUACGUGCCAGCAGCCGCGGUAAUACGUAGGUGGCAAGCGUUGUCCGGAUUUAUUGGGCGUAAAGCGAGCGCAGGCGGAAAGAUAAGUCUGAUGUGAAAGCCCCCGGCUUAACCGAGGAAUUGCAUCGGAAACUGUGUUUCUUGAGUGCAGAAGAGGAGAGUGGAACUCCAUGUGUAGCGGUGGAAUGCGUAGAUAUAUGGAAGAACACCAGUGGCGAAGGCGGCUCUCUGGUCUGUAACUGACGCUGAGGCUCGAAAGCAUGAGUAGCGAACAGGAUUAGAUACCCUGGUAGUCCAUGCCGUAAACGAUGAGUGCUAAGUGUUGGGAGGUUUCCGCCUCUCA
This 654-nucleotide ribosomal RNA is filed under the name uncultured bacterium. RNAcentral describes it as "bacterial SSU rRNA". It matches the Rfam family "Bacterial small subunit ribosomal RNA", at positions 202 to 842 of the family's 1533-position model. The record is from RNAcentral.